AGAGUUUGAUCCUGGCUCAGGAUGAACGCUGGCGGCGUGCCUAACACAUGCAAGUCGAGCGGUAUACAUUGGAAUGAUAUUUCGAUUGAGUGAAGAUGUAGAGAGCGGCGGACGGGUGAGUAACGCGUAGGCAACCUGCCCCAUACAGAGGGAUAGCCUCGGGAAACCGGGAUUAAAACCUCAUAACGCGAGAAGUUCACAUGGACUUUUCGCCAAAGAUUUAUCGGUAUGGGAUGGGCCUGCGUCUGAUUAGCUAGUUGGUAAGGUAACGGCUUACCAAGGCAACGAUCAGUAGCCGACCUGAGAGGGUAAUCGGCCACAUUGGAACUGAGACACGGUCCAAACUCUUACGGGAGGCAGCAGUGGGGAAUAUUGCACAAUGGGCGAAAGCCUGAUGCAGCAACGCCGCGUGAGCGAUGAAGGCCUUUGGGUCGUAAAACUCUGUCCUAAGGGAAGAAAAAAAUGACGGUACCCUAGGAGGAAGCCCCGGCUAACUACGUGCCAGCAGCCGCGGUAAUACGUAGGGGGCAAGCGUUAUCCGGAAUCACUGGGCGUAAAGGGUGCGUAGGCGGCUGAUCAAGCCAGGGGUGAAAGGCAAUAGCUUAACUAUUGUGAGCCUUUGGAACUGGUCAGCUUGAGUGCAGGAGAGGAAAGCGGAAUUCCUAGUGUAGCGGUGAAAUGCGUAGAUAUUAGGAGGAACACCAGUGGCGAAGGCGACUUUCUGGACUGUAACUGACGCUGAGGCACGAAAGCGUGGGGAGCAAACAGGAUUAGAUACCCUGGUAGUCCACGCUGUAAACGAUGUCAACUAGGUGUUGGGACGGUUAAUCGUCAGUGCUGAAGCUAACGCAUUAAGUAUUCCGCCUGGGGAGUACGGUCGCAAGACUGAAACUCAAAGGAAUUGACGGGGACCCGCACAAGCAGCGGAGCAUGUGGUUUAAUUCGAAGCAACGCGAAGAACCUUACCAGGUCUUGACAUCCCUCUGAAUGGCGCUUAGCAGCGCAGGUCUUUCCGGCUGGGUGACAGGUGGUGCAUGGUUGUCGUCAGCUCGUGUCGUGAGAUGUUGGGUUAAGUCCCGCAACGAGCGCAACCCUUGUCCUUAGUUGCCAUCAUUUAGUUGGGCACUCUAAGGAGACUGCCGGUGUUAAACCGGAGGAAGGUGGGGAUGACGUCAAGUCCUCAUGGCCCUUAUGUCCAGGGCUACACACGUCUACAAUGGCCGGUACAACGAGAAGCGAAACCGCGAGGUGAAGCAAAUCUUUUAAAGCCGGUCCCAGUUCGGAUUGCAGGCUGAAACUCGCCUGCAUGAAGUUGGAAUCGCUAGUAAUCGCGGAUCAGCAUGCCGUGGUGAAUGCGUUCCCGGGUCUUGUACACACCGCCCGUCACACCAUGG
RNAcentral lists this ribosomal RNA (1394 nucleotides) under uncultured bacterium. RNAcentral's name for it is "bacterial SSU rRNA". It matches the Rfam family "Bacterial small subunit ribosomal RNA". The record is from RNAcentral.